Molecule: ribosomal RNA, 1792 nt
Filed under: Escherichia coli
Lineage: Bacteria; Pseudomonadati; Pseudomonadota; Gammaproteobacteria; Enterobacterales; Enterobacteriaceae
Description: partial 23S ribosomal RNA
Rfam family: Bacterial large subunit ribosomal RNA
Source: RNAcentral
GGUUAAGCGACUAAGCGUACACGGUGGAUGCCCUGGCAGUCAGAGGCGAUGAAGGACGUGCUAAUCUGCGAUAAGCGUCGGUGAGGUGAUAUGAACCGUUAUAACCGGCGAUUUCCGAAUGGGGAAACCCAGUGUGUUUCGACACACUAUCAUUAACUGAAUCCAUAGGUUAAUGAGGCGAACCGGGGGAACUGAAACAUCUAAGUACCCCGAGGAAAAGAAAUCAACCGAGAUUCCCCCAGUAGCGGCGAGCGAACGGGGAGGAGCCCAGAGCCUGAAUCAGUGUGUGUGUUAGUGGAAGCGUCUGGAAAGGCGCGCGAUACAGGGUGACAGCCCCGUACACAAAAAUGCACAUACUGUGAGCUCGAUGAGUAGGGCGGGACACGUGGUAUCCUGUCUGAAUAUGGGGGGACCAUCCUCCAAGGCUAAAUACUCCUGACUGACCGAUAGUGAACCAGUACCGUGAGGGAAAGGCGAAAAGAACCCCGGCGAGGGGAGUGAAAAAGAACCUGAAACCGUGUACGUACAAGCAGUGGGAGCCUCUUAAUGGGGUGACUGCGUACCUUUUGUAUAAUGGGUCAGCGACUUAUAUUCUGUAGCAAGGUUAACCGAAUAGGGGAGCCGAAGGGAAACCGAGUCUUAACUGGGCGUUAAGUUGCAGGGUAUAGACCCGAAACCCGGUGAUCUAGCCAUGGGCAGGUUGAAGGUUGGGUAACACUAACUGGAGGACCGAACCGACUAAUGUUGAAAAAUUAGCGGAUGACUUGUGGCUGGGGGUGAAAGGCCAAUCAAACCGGGAGAUAGCUGGUUCUCCCCGAAAGCUAUUUAGGUAGCGCCUCGUGAAUUCAUCUCCGGGGGUAGAGCACUGUUUCGGCAAGGGGGUCAUCCCGACUUACCAACCCGAUGCAAACUGCGAAUACCGGAGAAUGUUAUCACGGGAGACACACGGCGGGUGCUAACGUCCGUCGUGAAGAGGGAAACAACCCAGACCGCCAGCUAAGGUCCCAAAGUCAUGGUUAAGUGGGAAACGAUGUGGGAAGGCCCAGACAGCCAGGAUGUUGGCUUAGAAGCAGCCAUCAUUUAAAGAAAGCGUAAUAGCUCACUGGUCGAGUCGGCCUGCGCGGAAGAUGUAACGGGGCUAAACCAUGCACCGAAGCUGCGGCAGCGACACUAUGUGUUGUUGGGUAGGGGAGCGUUCUGUAAGCCUGUGAAGGUGGCCUGUGAGGGUUGCUGGAGGUAUCAGAAGUGCGAAUGCUGACAUAAGUAACGAUAAAGCGGGUGAAAAGCCCGCUCGCCGGAAGACCAAGGGUUCCUGUCCAACGUUAAUCGGGGCAGGGUGAGUCGACCCCUAAGGCGAGGCCGAAAGGCGUAGUCGAUGGGAAACAGGUUAAUAUUCCUGUACUUGGUGUUACUGCGAAGGGGGGACGGAGAAGGCUAUGUUGGCCGGGCGACGGUUGUCCCGGUUUAAGCGUGUAGGCUGGUUUUCCAGGCAAAUCCGGAAAAUCAAGGCUGAGGCGUGAUGACGAGGCACUACGGUGCUGAAGCGACAAAUGCCCUGCUUCCAGGAAAAGCCUCUAAGCAUCAGGUAACAUCAAAUCGUACCCCAAACCGACACAGGUGGUCAGGUAGAGAAUACCAAGGCGCUUGAGAGAACUCGGGUGAAGGAACUAGGCAAAAUGGUGCCGUAACUUCGGGAGAAGGCACGCUGAUAUGUAGGUGAAGCGACUUGCUCGUGGAGCUGAAAUCAGUCGAAGAUACCAGCUGGCUGCAACUGUUUAUUAAAAACACAGCA